GUGGAUCUAGCCCAACUGGUAGAGGCACAUGGUUGAGGGCCAUGACAGUCGGGGUUCGACUCCCCGGAUCCGCAC
This 75-nucleotide transfer RNA is filed under the name Lentzea roselyniae. RNAcentral's name for it is "tRNA-Leu". It matches the Rfam family "tRNA". From Rfam's summary of the family: Transfer RNA (tRNA) molecules are approximately 80 nucleotides in length. Their secondary structure includes four short double-helical elements and three loops (D, anti-codon, and T loops). Further hydrogen bonds mediate the characteristic L-shaped molecular structure. tRNAs have two regions of fundamental functional importance: the anti-codon, which is responsible for specific mRNA codon recognition, and the 3' end, to which the tRNAs corresponding amino acid is attached (by aminoacyl-tRNA synthetases). tRNAs cope with the degeneracy of the genetic code in two manners: having more than one tRNA (with a specific anti-codon) for a particular amino acid; and 'wobble' base-pairing, i.e. permitting non-standard base-pairing at the 3rd anti-codon position. RNAcentral also lists the same sequence under 2 other names. Lineage: Bacteria; Bacillati; Actinomycetota; Actinomycetes; Pseudonocardiales; Pseudonocardiaceae. The record is from RNAcentral.